UACAGAGGUCCCGAGCGUUGUUCGGAUUUAUUGGGCGUAAAGGGUGCGUAGGCGGCGGAGUAAGUUGGGUGUGAAAUCCCGGGGCUCAACCUCGGAAUGGCAUUCAAUACUGCUUCGCUAGAGUACUGGAGAGGAGGCUGGAAUUUACGGUGUAGCAGUGAAAUGCGUAGAUAUCGUAAGGAAGACCAGUGGCGAAGGCGGGUCUCUGGACAGUUCCUGACGCUGAGGCACGAAGGCCAGGGGAGCAAACGGG
RNAcentral lists this ribosomal RNA (253 nucleotides) under uncultured bacterium. Its description in RNAcentral is "partial 16S ribosomal RNA". It matches the Rfam family "Bacterial small subunit ribosomal RNA", at positions 524 to 776 of the family's 1533-position model. The record is from RNAcentral.